This 277-nucleotide long non-coding RNA is filed under the name Canis lupus familiaris (dog). Its description in RNAcentral is "lncRNA (ENSCAFG00040022549.1)". Lineage: Eukaryota; Metazoa; Chordata; Mammalia; Carnivora; Canidae. The record is from RNAcentral.
UAAUUGAUUUUUCUGACUAAAAUGAAUGUUCUAGCAGGCAGCUCUUCUUUUACAGAAGUAUACAUCACAAAGUAGAAACCCUCCAGAUGUGAAGGACAAGUUUUUCCCAAGUCUCAUGGAUAUACAACCUGCUGAUAAAGUACGUUUAUAGAGGAAAAUUCCACGAAGGCAACUACACCAGACCCUCCCUGUGCUAUUGGUUCUGCCAGAGAGGCAUUUGGCAUAAGGUGAGUCAGGCUUGGACCCCAUCUGCAGGUCAUUCACUGAUUCAUUCAUU